GGACAUACCUGAUAUAUAGAGAUCCUGGAAUGGUUCUCCAUUUAAGGCUCCGGCACCUAAGGAUGGAUCUGCGGCCUAUUAGGUCGUUGGUGGGGUAAAGUCCCAACAAGCCUGUAAUCUGUACGGGUUGUGAGAGCAAGAGCCCGGGGAUGGAACCUGAGACAAGGUUCCAGGCCCUACGGGGCGCAACAAGCCCGAAACCUCCGCAAUGCGAGCAAUCGCGACGGGGGGACCCCAAGUGCCACUCUUAACGGGGUGGCUUUUCUUAAGUGUAAAAAGCUUUUGGAAUAAGGGCUGGGCAAGACCGGUG
RNAcentral lists this ribosomal RNA (310 nucleotides) under uncultured Methanobacterium sp. RNAcentral describes it as "bacterial SSU rRNA". It matches the Rfam family "Archaeal small subunit ribosomal RNA", at positions 145 to 457 of the family's 1478-position model. Lineage: Archaea; Methanobacteriati; Methanobacteriota; Methanobacteria; Methanobacteriales; Methanobacteriaceae. The record is from RNAcentral.